ACCUUCGUGGUGUAGCGGUCAGCACGCUCGACGCGUAUUCGAGAGGUCCGUGGUUCGAGUCCCGGCGUGGGCA
Molecule: transfer RNA, 73 nt
Filed under: Stegodyphus mimosarum
Lineage: Eukaryota; Metazoa; Arthropoda; Arachnida; Araneae; Eresidae
Rfam family: tRNA
About the family: Transfer RNA (tRNA) molecules are approximately 80 nucleotides in length. Their secondary structure includes four short double-helical elements and three loops (D, anti-codon, and T loops).
Source: Rfam by way of RNAcentral